UAUUUGGUUACUAAGAUAUCUAGUGGCGACGGGUGAGUAACACGUGAGCAACUACCUUAGAGAGAGGGAUAGCUUCUGGAAACGGAUGGUAAUACCUCAUAACAUAACUGAACCGCAUGAUUUAGUUAUCAAAGAUUUAUCACUCUGAGAUGGGCUCGCGUCUGAUUAGAUAGUUGGUGAGGUAACGGCUCACCCAAGUCGACGAUCAGUAGCCGGACUGAGAGGUUGAACGGCCACAUUGGGACUGAGACACGGCCCAGACUCCUACGGGAGGCAGCAGUGGGGAAUAUUGCACAAUGGGGGAAACCCUUGAUGCAGCGAUGCCGCGUGGAGGAAGAAGGUUUUCGGAUUGUAAACUCCUGUCUUAAAGGACGAUAAUGACGGUACUUUAGGAGGAAGCUCCGGCUAACUACGUGCCAGCCGCCGC
RNAcentral lists this ribosomal RNA (427 nucleotides) under uncultured bacterium. RNAcentral describes it as "bacterial SSU rRNA". It matches the Rfam family "Bacterial small subunit ribosomal RNA", at positions 73 to 518 of the family's 1533-position model. The record is from RNAcentral.